GAUGAACGCUGGCGGCGUGCCUAAUACAUGCAAGUCGAGCGAACAGACGAGGAGCUUGCUCCUCUGACGUUAGCGGCGGACGGGUGAGUAACACGUGGAUAACCUACCUAUAAGACUGGGAUAACUUCGGGAAACCGGAGCUAAUACCGGAUAAUAUAUUGAACCGCAUGGUUCAAUAGUGAAAGACGGUUUUGCUGUCACUUAUAGAUGGAUCCGCGCCGCAUUAGCUAGUUGGUAAGGUAACGGCUUACCAAGGCGACGAUGCGUAGCCGACCUGAGAGGGAGAACGGGCAGCCGGUCACUGAGACGCGGCCCAGACACCUAGGGUAGGCAGCAGUAGGGAAUCUUCCGGGAGGGGGGAAAGGCGGAUGUAGCGAAGCCGCGUGAGUGAUGACGGUCUCCGGAUGGUAGAACGCUGUUGGUAGGGAAGAAGAAAUGUGUUAGUAACGAUGCACGUAUUGACGGUACCUAAACAAAAAGCCCCGGCUAACUACGUG
This 497-nucleotide ribosomal RNA is filed under the name uncultured bacterium. RNAcentral's name for it is "partial 16S ribosomal RNA". It matches the Rfam family "Bacterial small subunit ribosomal RNA", at positions 28 to 507 of the family's 1533-position model. The record is from RNAcentral.